CACCGGCGGCCCGAGUGGUGAUCACUUUUAUUGGGUCUAAAGGGUCCGUAGCCGGUUUGAUCAGUUCUUCGGGAAAUCUGACAGCUUAACUGUUAGGCUUCUGGGGAAUACUGUCAGACUUGGGACCGGGAGAGGUAAGAGGUACUACAGGGGUAGGAGUGAGAUCUUGUAAUCCCCUGUGGGACCACCAGUGGCGAAGGCGUCUUACCAGAACGGGUCCGACGGGUGAGGGACGAAAGCUGGGGGCACGAACCGGGAUUAGAUACCCCGGGUAGUCCCAGCCGUAAACCGAUGUUCGCUAGGUGUCAGGGACGGUGCGACCGUUUCUGGUGCCGCAGGGAAGCCGUGAAGCGAACCGACCUGGGAAGUACGGCCGCAAGGCUGAAACUUAAAGGAAUUGGCGGGGGAGCACUACGAACGGGUGGAGCCUGCGGUUU
This 437-nucleotide ribosomal RNA is filed under the name uncultured archaeon. RNAcentral describes it as "bacterial SSU rRNA". It matches the Rfam family "Archaeal small subunit ribosomal RNA", at positions 474 to 903 of the family's 1478-position model. The record is from RNAcentral.